RNAcentral lists this ribosomal RNA (452 nucleotides) under Nesopupa newcombi. Its description in RNAcentral is "partial 16S ribosomal RNA". The stretch from base 1 to 187 matches the Rfam family "Archaeal large subunit ribosomal RNA", at positions 1920 to 2143 of the family's 2987-position model. The record is from RNAcentral. Lineage: Eukaryota; Metazoa; Mollusca; Gastropoda; Stylommatophora; Vertiginidae.
UUGUCUUAUGAGUUUUAAUAUAAGAUAUUGCCUGCCCAGUGAAAUUUUUAACGGCCGCAGUACUCUGACUGUGCUAAGGUAGCAUAAUAAAUUGGCUUUUAAUUGGAGUCGGGAAUGAAAGGGAGAAUGAGGUUAAACUGUCUUAAAAAAUACUAUGUAAAAUUACUUAUCAGGUGAAAAUUCCUGAAUGUUUAAUAUUAGACGAGAAGACCCUAAGAAUUAUUUAUUCAUAAUAAUUAAUUUUAUUUACAUUUUUGUUGGGGCAACAGGAUUGGAAUAAAUAAAAUAACCAAUUUAUAUUUAAAUUUUUUAGACCAAGAUUUUAAGAAAAAUUUUAAUUACCUUAGGGAUAACAGCAUAAUUUACUUUUUAGAUUGUGACCUCGAUGUUGGACUAGGGACUAUUUUAACUAGCCGUUAAAAUAGAUUGUUCUGUUCGAACAUUUAAACCCU